This 1616-nucleotide long non-coding RNA is filed under the name Lepisosteus oculatus (spotted gar). RNAcentral's name for it is "lncRNA (ENSLOCG00000023135.1)". Lineage: Eukaryota; Metazoa; Chordata; Actinopteri; Semionotiformes; Lepisosteidae. The record is from RNAcentral.
AGCUGGUGUGCUGGUGUGUCGUUGUGCUGAUGAGCUGGUGUGCUGGUGUGUCGUUGUGCUGAUGAGCUGGUGUGCUGGUGUGUCAUUGUGCUGAUGAGCUGGUGUGCUGGUGUGUCAUUGUGCUGAUGAGCUGGUGAGCUGGUGUGUUGGUGUGUCGUUGUGCUGAUGAGCUGGUGGGCUGGUGUGUCGUUGUGCUGAUGAGCUGGUGUGUUGGUGUGUCAUUGUGCUGAUGAGCUGGUGUGCUGGUGUGUCGUUGUGCUGAUGACCUGGUGAGCUGGUGUGUCGUUGUGCUGAUGAGCUGGUGUGCUGGCUUGUGUGAUCUGGAACUCCAAUUGCUGUCCUGCUCAUCUCCAGGUGUUGUCUUGAGAAGGAGCUGAUCUGAUAUUCCUCAGCGCUGCUUCAUGAUAAGGACUAAUGAACUAUGUAAACACAAUAUUUUUCUCAUUAAUAAUGCACCGCUGAGAUAUUGUCACUUGUUCAGGGUUAAUUUUAUACUUGUUAAAAAUGCAUAAGUGUCUGAUGAAAUGCAUGCUAAUAACCGCUAAUCACUUGCUUCUCCCAGCCCUUCAUAUCUCUUCUGAACACACCAGCUUCCUGUGGACUGAUGCAUGAACUGAUGUCAUCUCUCCAGCCUAUUGGAACUGCUGAGCCCAGCCAGGAUUUAUCUGUGACUGAGACAGGAGCAGCCCCUCCUCCAGGGACAGAGACACCACACACAGAGAGAGGACUAUCCCCUCUGCCAGGGACAGAGACAGCCGACUCCCCUCCCACAGGGGGCAGAGACACCACCCCUCCUCAGAAAGGGUCCUAGGGUCCCAGUGUUGCAGUCUUGAUGUCUUCACAGACUCGCCUGCCCUCCAGUCAGCCCCUUUACUGCCUGCAAGAACGCAGCUCUGUGAGCUUGCCUUGUGUUCUUGUUGUCACUGCAUCAUAUAUCAUAUGAGGGUAGAAAGAGAGGUGUUUGGAAAGGCACACUAUAAUUAGGAAAUAAUAAGAAAAUAUAUGAAAAGAACAAAAAAAAAAGAAUUGAAAGAUGUUUGCUUUUAUCAUCCCCAGAUUUUUCAUACCUGUCAGCCCACACAGAAGGACAGGUAAUUUGAGUGGUACGGUGAAGGAUUGUCAAGGUUUUGAAGUCUCAUUGAUAGCGCUGCCAUCCCUGCAGCUCCGAGCUCGUCUGUGUAGCGGAGAGUGACAGUCCCGCCAGCCCACUCACGACUGCACAGCCGCAGGAUUCAGACAGCUCUGCCCUGAUCCCACCCUGACCAGCGAGUGGCUGGCACAGGGGGCAAGAGCUCGGCACAGCAGACACGCACCUGGUAGAAGGUGGGCACAUAUUUAGCACAGGGGAUCAGGCCUGGUAAUGGUGGUAAUAAUAAUAAUAAUAAAUCCUUACACUUAUAUAGUGCUUUUCUGGACUCUUUACAGGUAAUGGGGACUCCCCUCCACCGCCACCAGUGUGCAGCCCCCACCUGGAUGAUGUGACGGCACCCAUAGUGCACCAGAACGCUCACCACACACCAGCUCUCAGUGGGGAGGAGAACAGAGUGAUGAAACCAGUUCUGAGAUGGGGGUUAUUAAGAGGUAAUGGCCAGGGGAAAAUUCGGCCAGGAUGCCGG